Molecule: ribosomal RNA, 484 nt
Filed under: uncultured bacterium
Lineage: Bacteria
Description: partial 16S ribosomal RNA
Rfam family: Bacterial small subunit ribosomal RNA
Source: RNAcentral
AUUGAACGCUGGCGGCAGGCCUAACACAUGCAAGUCGAGCGGAUGAAGGGAGCUUGCUCCUGGAUUCAGCGGCGGACGGGUGAGUAAUGCCUAGGAAUCUGCCUGGUAGUGGGGGAUAACGUCCGGAAACGGGCGCUAAUACCGCAUACGUCCUGAGGGAGAAAGUGGGGGAUCUUCGGACCUCACGCUAUCAGAUGAGCCUAGGUCGGAUUAGCUAGUUGGUGGGGUAAAGGCCUACCAAGGCGACGAUCCGUAACUGGUCUGAGAGGAUGAUCAGUCACACUGGAACUGAGACACGGUCCAGACUCCUACGGGAGGCAGCAGUGGGGAAUAUUGGACAAUGGGCGAAAGCCUGAUCCAGCCAUGCCGCGUGUGUGAAGAAGGUCUUCGGAUUGUAAAGCACUUUAAGUUGGGAGGAAGGGCAGUAAGUUAAUACUUUGCUGUUUCGACGUUACCAACAGAAUAAGCACCGGCUAACUUCGUG